This 910-nucleotide ribosomal RNA is filed under the name Fusarium solani. Its description in RNAcentral is "eukaryotic LSU rRNA". It matches the Rfam family "Eukaryotic large subunit ribosomal RNA", at positions 33 to 973 of the family's 3401-position model. The record is from RNAcentral. Lineage: Eukaryota; Fungi; Ascomycota; Sordariomycetes; Hypocreales; Nectriaceae.
CUUAAGCAUAUCAAUAAGCGGAGGAAAAGAAACCAACAGGGAUUGCCCCAGUAACGGCGAGUGAAGCGGCAACAGCUCAAAUUUGAAAUCUGGCUCUCGGGCCCGAGUUGUAAUUUGUAGAGGAUGCUUUUGGUGAGGUGCCUUCCGAGUUCCCUGGAACGGGACGCCAUAGAGGGUGAGAGCCCCGUCUGGUUGGACGCCGAACCUCUGUAAAGCUCCUUCGACGAGUCGAGUAGUUUGGGAAUGCUGCUCUAAAUGGGAGGUAUAUGUCUUCUAAAGCUAAAUACCGGCCAGAGACCGAUAGCGCACAAGUAGAGUGAUCGAAAGAUGAAAAGAACUUUGAAAAGAGAGUUAAACAGUACGUGAAAUUGUUGAAAGGGAAGCGCUUGUGACCAGACUUGGGCUUGGUUGAUCAUCCGGGGUUCUCCCCGGUGCACUCUUCCGGCUCAGGCCAGCAUCAGUUCGCCCUGGGGGAUAAAGGCAUCGGGAACGUGGCUCUCUCCGGGGAGUGUUAUAGCCCGUUGCGUAAUACCCUGUGGCGGACUGAGGUUCGCGCAUUCGCAAGGAUGCUGGCGUAAUGGUCAUCAGUGACCCGUCUUGAAACACGGACCAAGGAGUCGUCUUCGUAUGCGAGUGUUCGGGUGUCAAACCCCUACGCGAAAUGAAAGUGAACGCAGGUGAGAGCUUCGGCGCAUCAUCGACCGAUCCUGAUGUUAUCGGAUGGAUUUGAGUAAGAGCAUACGGGGCCGGACCCGAAAGAAGGUGAACUAUGCCUGUGUAGGGUGAAGCCAGAGGAAACUCUGGUGGAGGCUCGCAGCGGUUCUGACGUGCAAAUCGAUCGUCAAACAUGGGCAUGGGGGCGAAAGACUAAUCGAACCUUCUAGUAGCUGGUUUCCGCCGAAGUUUCCUU